Molecule: ribosomal RNA, 252 nt
Filed under: uncultured bacterium
Lineage: Bacteria
Description: partial 16S ribosomal RNA
Rfam family: Bacterial small subunit ribosomal RNA
Source: RNAcentral
GACAGAGGAUGCAAGCGUUAUCCGGAAUGAUUGGGCGUAAAGCGUCUGUAGGUGGCUUUUUAAGUCUGCCGUCAAAUCCCAGGGCUUAACCCUGGACAGGCGGUGGAAACUACCAAGCUGGAGUACGGUAGGGGCAGAGGGAAUUUCCGGUGGAGCGGUGAAAUGCGUAGAGAUCGGAAGAACACCGGUGGCGAAAGCGCUCUGCUAGGCCGCAACUGACACUGAGGGACGAAAGCUAGGGGAGCGAAUGGG